UGAACGCUGGCGGCGUGCCUAACACAUGCAAGUCGAACGAAGCACAUAUAUCCGAUCCUCGGGUGACGACAUCUGUGACUGAGUGGCGGACGGGUGAGUAACGCGUGGGUAACCUGCCCUGUACAGGGGGAUAACAGUCAGAAAUGACUGCUAAUACCGCAUAAGCGCACGAUGGUAGCAUUACCAGGUGUGAAAAAACUCCGGUGGUACAGGAUGGGCCCGCGUCUGAUUAGCUGGUUGGCGGGGUAAAAGGCCCACCAAGGCGACGAUCAGUAGCCGGUCUGAGAGGAUGAACGGCCACAUUGGAACUGAGACACGGUCCAAACUCCUACGGGAGGCAGCAGUGGGGGAUAUUGCACAAUGGGGGGAACCCUGAUGCAGCAACGCCCGCGUGAGUGAAGAAGUAUUUCGGUAUGUAAAGCUCUAUCAGCAGGGAAGAUGAUGACGGUACCUGACUAAGAAGCUCCGGCUAAAUACGUGCCAGCAGCAGC
RNAcentral lists this ribosomal RNA (491 nucleotides) under uncultured bacterium. RNAcentral describes it as "bacterial SSU rRNA". It matches the Rfam family "Bacterial small subunit ribosomal RNA", at positions 30 to 518 of the family's 1533-position model. The record is from RNAcentral.